This 266-nucleotide ribosomal RNA is filed under the name uncultured bacterium. Its description in RNAcentral is "partial 16S ribosomal RNA". It matches the Rfam family "Bacterial small subunit ribosomal RNA", at positions 86 to 339 of the family's 1533-position model. The record is from RNAcentral.
AUGAGUAAAGUGGCGCACGGGUGAGUAACACGUAGGUGACCUGCCUUUUAGAGGGGAAUAACCAGAUGAAAAUUUGGCUAAUGCCGCAUACGAAGAGCAAAACUAAGAGUAGCUCUCGAAAGGAUGCCUCUGUAUAUGCAUCCACUAAAAGAUGGGCCUGCGGAACAUUAGCUAGUUGGUGGGGUAAAGGCCUACCAAGGCAACGAUGUUUAUCCGGUCUGAGAGGAUGAUCGGACACACUGGAACUGAGACACGGUCCAGACUCC